CCUACGAGCGGCAGCAGUGAGGAAUAUUGGUCAAUGGGCGCGAGCCUGAACCAGCCACGUCGCGUGAAGGAUGACUGCCCUACGGGUUGUAAACUUCUUUUAUAAAGGCAUACAGUUAGGCACGUGUGCCUUUUUGUAUGUCCUUUAUGAUUACGGAUCGGCUAACUCCGUGCCAGCAGCCGCGGGCAUACGGUGGAUCCGAGCUUUAUCCGGAUUUGUUGGGUUUAAAGGGCGGGUAGAUGGGUUGUUAAGUCAGUUGUGAAAGUUUGCGGCCCAACCGUCAAAUUGCAAUUGAUACUGGCAGUCUUGAGUACAGUUGAGGUAGGCGGAAUUCGAGGUGUAGCGGUGAAAUGCGUAGAUAUCACGAAGAACACCGAUUGCGAAGGCAGCUUACUAAACUUCCACUGACGUUGAUGCUCGAAAGUGUGGGUAUCAAACAGGAUUAGAUACCCGAGUAGUC
RNAcentral lists this ribosomal RNA (460 nucleotides) under uncultured bacterium. RNAcentral's name for it is "partial 16S ribosomal RNA". It matches the Rfam family "Bacterial small subunit ribosomal RNA", at positions 338 to 795 of the family's 1533-position model. The record is from RNAcentral.